UACGUAGGGCGCAAGCGUUGUCCGGAAUUAUUGGGCGUAAAGAGCUCGUAGGCGGCCAGUUGCGUCUGCUGUGAAAUCCCGGGGCUCAACCCCGGGCGUGCAGUGGAUACGGGCUGGCUAGAGGCAGGCAGGGGAGAACGGAAUUCCCGGUGUAGCGGUGAAAUGCGCAGAUAUCGGGAGGAACACCGGUGGCGAAGGCGGUUCUCUGGGCCUGUACUGACGCUGAGGAGC
RNAcentral lists this ribosomal RNA (231 nucleotides) under uncultured bacterium. RNAcentral describes it as "partial 16S ribosomal RNA". It matches the Rfam family "Bacterial small subunit ribosomal RNA", at positions 524 to 754 of the family's 1533-position model. The record is from RNAcentral.